UCAGAACGAACGCUGGCGGCAGGCUUAACACAUGCAAGUCGAGCGCCCCGCAAGGGGAGCGGCAGACGGGUGAGUAACGCGUGGGAACGUACCCUUUGCUACGGAAUAGCUCCGGGAAACUGGAAUUAAUACCGUAUGUGCCCUUCGGGGGAAAGAUUUAUCGGCAAAGGAUCGGCCCGCGUUGGAUUAGCUAGUUGGUGGGGUAAAGGCCUACCAAGGCGACGAUCCAUAGCUGGUCUGAGAGGAUGAUCAGCCACAUUGGGACUGAGACACGGCCCAAACUCCUACGGGAGGCAGCAGUGGGGAAUAUUGGACAAUGGGCGCAAGCCUGAUCCAGCCAUGCCGCGUGAGUGAUGAAGGCCCUAGGGUUGUAAAGCUCUUUCACCGGAGAAGAUAAUGACGGUAUCCGAGAAGA
Molecule: ribosomal RNA, 415 nt
Filed under: soil bacterium 13V-15
Lineage: Bacteria
Description: bacterial SSU rRNA
Rfam family: Bacterial small subunit ribosomal RNA
Source: RNAcentral